This 336-nucleotide ribosomal RNA is filed under the name Triticum aestivum (bread wheat). RNAcentral's name for it is "partial small subunit ribosomal RNA". Lineage: Eukaryota; Viridiplantae; Streptophyta; Magnoliopsida; Poales; Poaceae. The record is from RNAcentral.
AUGUGCAUAUUGUUUUUCCUAAGUGAUGUACUUUCCUCCCCAAACAACAUGCUCCGCGUUGAUAUUGCAUGGAUCUUGUUAACAUUUUUUUUAACACCACAACUUUUAGUUAAAAUAAAUUUUGUGAGUUUAAUUUGCACAGAUUGUACAUGGGCCUUUUUAGUAUAUAAUCCACAGAUAUAUAUAUUUGCUCACAUGAUGUAUAGACCUUUCUCAAAUUUGGUUAUGAAAUGUGCUUCCAUCGUGAGGUAUAUUUAUUGGUCAUGUGAUGUAAAUAAUUCUCUCAAAGUAAAAGAAUUCUCUCAAAUUCGGCAAGGGGUGCGAGGAAGAAGAUGA